AGCCCACAGGGCUAUACCAAAUAAAUGAACUAACUAACUUGUUCUCUAAUUCAUUACUCGUCCUUUGAAUUAAUUUUCUGUUCUUCGUAGGCCGGGAGUCGUCGUGCCAGUCGACCACGUGGGGGACAUUAUGGACAAAGUGGACCCUUUUCCAGGCCAGAGUCACAAGCAUCACUCCCCAAAGAUUGCUACUGCACAAGACCUAAAGCCAGACAUCGACGGACUGACCUCAGGAAAAUGGUGUCAGCUAUCCAACCAGGAAACAAAUACAAAUUGAUCAAUGGAUGUGGAAGGUGUUUGAUAUGGUGUCUCAAGGCGAGUUGCUGAAAGCUGCUGAGAUGAAGACACUAGCAUUCUUGUGCAUAUUCGAGACAAAGAAUGUGCGUCUCUGGAGGUGCGAUACCACAAGUCCUGUUAUAGACAGUACACCAGGUUCUUGACAAAGUCUAGUGCAUCAGUUACUGUGACCUCAGAAGAACAAAAUGAGCCAACCUUCGAUGCCAGCUACAAGAUCUUCUGUGAGAGGAUCAUCCGCCAUAGAACAAUGACUCGGCUAAGAAGGAUCUUUUAAAUCUGGUGAAAAAACCAUGAAGAUCUUGAAGCGUCAAACUACAGGCAGGAUAAAUUGAAGAGGUUGGCCCGUGAUUUCCCCCCAGCUGAUGUUUCACUCCCCCCAAGAAGCGCAACAUAAGUGAGAUGGUUUUCGUUGAGACAUUGUCUGCAGAUAAGCUGAUAGGCUACCUCAUCCAUCAGGUACAGAAACAACAGUCAACUGAGGUAACUAGCGAAAGUGACUGUGAAAACAGGGCUAGUGCAAAAAGCUGGUCCAAUGGCCUCCAUCAAUACUGCAGAGGACACGAGGACACAUUAAUAUUAAAGAUGUUUCUGUGUGACUCUCCCGGUAUGAAAUGCCCGUGGCCACCCACAUCAGAUGACCUAAAUGUGAGCGAGGCAAAAUCUGUCGUUCCAAUUGAACUGUACAAUCUGAUUUCCUGGAUUAUUGGUGCAACUGAGGAACCAACACUGGCCUAUUAUGUUGAUAUUCCAGAUGACUUGAACCUAAAAGUGAUAUCUAUCUGUCAAGACAUUGUGUAUCUUGCAUCUAAGGGUCGGAGGCAGACCCCUAAAUCAUUGUCUUGGUCUAACGGUUCGCCAUUUAACAGGUUCAUCACAAAUUGCGUCACUUCUAAAUAGACUAGGACAUUGUGCAUCAUGGGACACAGUUGUCAGUCUAGACACUAGCCUUGCCCAACUUCAACUGGUAGAGGGCAGAAACAAAAUACCAAAGGGAUUCUCAAAGAAGGUUCCUAUGGUACUUGUGUGGGACAAUAUUGACUUUGGGGAGGAGACACUGUCAGGUCGUGGAACUACCCACCAAAGAAAUGGGAUUAUGCUGCAAAGUUCUGUAGUUGAACCUGUGUCAACAGACAACCACUACAGAAGGAAGUUUCCUCAUUGAAAGUACCCCCUAGCAUCCCUGUCGAACAGUACCAUCAUUCUAAAAGACAAAGACCACAGCACUUGUUUAAUCAGGAAAGUGUUCCAUUACAGGCGGACACAUACAAAUUGAACACGGUGUCUGCUGUACAAACUGAACUGGCAUAUGUUUUUGUAAAGUCCAUAGAUGCUGAAAGAUGCACAAUACCAAGCUGGACAGGUUUCCAUACAUUACUUCAAGGUGAUGGCACUCUGCAAAAGUCAGCACUGUAUUAUCUUCCAGUCAUUGAGGCUUCACCGACAUAAAUGUCAACAGUAAACACAAUUCUGAAGCGAAGUGUCCAAAUUGCUAAUUAGCUAGAACUGGACCAUAUAGUGUUAGUUUUUGACCAAGCUAUAUAUGCUAAAGCACAGCAAAUCCGCUGGAAAGAUGACUUUACUCAGCGUAUAGUGAUUAGACUAGGUGAAUUUCACACCUGCAUGUCCUACCUGAGCAUUCUAGGAAAAAGGUUUGGAGAUGCACGACUGCAAGACAUACUCAUUGAGUCCGAAGUUGUUGCCCCAGGAUCCAUCAAUGGAGUGAUCAGUGGUCAUCAUUACAAGCGCAGCAUGAGGGCACACAAACUUCUGUACGAGAGUCUGUAACACAUCAGACUUCUCACCUUCUUAGAUUCUCUGCCACCAGAGGAGAUAUGAGUGUCUGGAUGUCAUCAAUGAGAUCAAAUGUGCAUUCCUGGACAGAACAAUGGAUGUUUUGUGUGCAAAUGAGAAAUUUGACAAAAUGUGUUCGAAAUAUGAAGACUUUGUUAAAAGAGGAAGUGCAUAAAACCCAACGUUUGCCUUCUGGAGUUCAUACAUCGACAUGGUACAGAUACUCCUUCAAUUUGUGAAAGCAACACCAGAAUCUGAUUGGCAGCUUCACCUGUCAACAGUGCACUUGAUGAUGGCAUGGUUUUUUGCGUACAGUCGUGUAAAUUAUGCUAGGUAUUUACCUUCAUACUGGCUGGAAAUGGUCAAUUUGCCCCUCACACAUCCUUCUUGCCAUAGUGAGCUCAGUGUUAAAGUCCAGUGGACUGUCCAACGUCAAAGUGUCCAUGGAUUUGCCUCGAUUGCUUGUGACCAGGCCAUUGAGCAAACAUGCAACAGAGAUUCCAAGACAAAGGGUGGUUGGACAGGCAGGGUUAACACAGAAUCGGGCUGCAGUAUAUCACUGGAUAUUGUCGCAACAUGAAAGGGCUGCCAUAGCAAGACAAUGUGAGGCAAUGGCAGGUAAAUCUCCCAAUAUAAGGAAACGAAAAGACCUUGACAGCACACGAAUUCAUGCUGAUGAAAGGGCUGUGACCAGAAUAAUUUCCACCAUAGAUUCCAUACUAAAUCCUUUUGACACACACCAAGAUGGCAUUGUGUGUCUUAGCUCUAGGACAGUAGCAGCUGAAGAAAUCAUGAGGGAUUUUCUCCAGAAAAGGGGGAAAAUGCUGUCAAAGAGUUUAUGGACCAAAGACUGUUAUCACCAUCAGUUGACAUAUUAGCUCCCAUCGAAAGGUGGAGACUGUUUAGUUGACAAAGUUCCGACAGAUGGAGCUAUUCUCUUUAAUGGCAUGGCAGUCAUUCAAGCCAUUCUAUCAAUACCAAGUACCUUUGGAGAGCUUGCAGAGACCAUACUGCAGUACAUAGUCAAGCUUGCUCUGAAACACAACUGUACACGGAUAGACUUUGUGAUUGACCAGUAUCCGAAAAUGAGUAUUAAAAACCUAGAACGGUCACGUAGAGCUGGUGGUGGUACACAACUGGUGAAAAUUUAUGGACGGGAUCAGAAGACACCAACACAAUGGAAAAAGUUUCUAUCAGAUGGAACAAACAAAGAAGCACUGGCAGAAUGCCUCUAUGUUGUGUGGCGAGAGGCUGAUCUUACCACUGUGGGCAAGGACUUAAGCUUGUACAUAGCACAUGGAGACCUGUGUCACUGCGUGGCUGUAAUCGAGGGUUUACAAACUCUCAGUGCUGUUGAAGAUCUGACAUGUGAUCAUGAGGAAUGUGACACCAGGGUGUUUUAACAUGCACAACAUGCUGCACAGGAACAUCAAACUGUAGUCAUCAAGAGCCCUGAUACUGAUGUGGCAGUGAUUGCUUUAAGUCUGCAGCCAGAUUUACCAUGUAGGUUGUAUUUUUUCACGGGGGUUGGCAACAAAACAAGGCUCAUUGACUUAGCUAAGGUGUCAUCAGCUCUUGGCACAAGUGUCUGUUUGGCACUUAUUGGGAUCCAUACCUUCUCAGUUUGUUUCUCUACAAGUGCCUUUUAUGGCAAAGGCAAAAGAAAGGCAUUUUCUGUUGCUUGUGAGAAAGAGCAAUAUCUGACUGCUUUUACAAAUCUGGGUAGCAGUUUUAACCUAGACCAGUCUACCUUUGAGCUACUUUGCACACAUGUGUGCCACCUGUAUGGCCAGUCAUCUGCCGAAAAUGUGAACGAUGCAAGAUACAAAGCAUUCUGUAUGGCAUCAUCAGCUUUGCCAGAACUAUCCAUGCCCCCGACAAGUGACGCCCUGUACCAACACUGCAAAAGGGCAACCUACCAAGCAGCCAUAAUGAGCCAUUCUCUGAAAGGUAUAAUGUGUGCCCCUUCACCCGUUGGCAAUGGGUGGCACCUCGAGGAUGAUGAGUUAACAGUGACCUGGAUGACUAGAAAUCCUGCCCCUGAAAGUGUGUUGCAGGCAGUCCACUGCAGUUGCAAGCAUAGCAAAUGUGAGACUGGAAGAUGUUCCUGUAUGUCUGCAAGACUGUCUUGUACUGAUUUAUGUCGGUGCCAAAAUUGUGCAAAUGUUUCACAGGAAACAGAAGACCUACAUGGGAUGAUGGCUCUGAUAGUGAUAGGGAUGAUACCGAUGAGUAAAUAUGCGCUGUGUUAUAAUUUAAGGUGAUUUUGAGCUGUAAAGAAUCUGUUGUAGAAUUGUAAUUUUUUUGGCAGCAUUCAAAAAUAAGGGGACAGCAUUUCGAGUCAUUUCAGCCAACUUGGGCCAAAGUGUGCUUAUAUUUGUAUCUUUCUGUGAUUACACAGUACCUACUGAAAAUUUGGAUGUAUAAAACAUCACAGUUUUGCUAAAUUUAUAAUGUUUAUGUUUAAUUUUGCUUAGUGCCAAUCCGUAAAGUUGAAGCAUAUUUUACACAAAUGUGCCAUAUUUCAUGGUCUACAUUCACACUUAAGUAUAUAAUUCACCAAAACCUGUCUCAAGUGUUUAGGUACAUGUAUAAAUGUGAGUUUGAGAGAUAUUUUGUGUUGCUAAAAUGUAUAUAAAUAAAGUUACAAACAAAACCAGCAGCAUAAGAUUUUCGUUUUUUCCAAUUCACAAUUAUAUACAUUUAUGGAUUGUGACAAAAAAACUGCAGGGUAUUUUUCGGAUAACUUUUAACAGUCGAUAAUGGGUUUGUCUAUGAAAAAAUUCAUUUAAAAAGUAGUGCCCAGGUGUGGGAACGAAAAUCAUUUUCCAGCCACUUUUUCCUAGUUCACCUUAUGCCUAAUUGCUAAAUUUGAAUCACAGUUCCUAUGAUCACUGUUACAUUAUUUUUUAUAGCUUUAUUUUGGUGAUUUUGAAAA
Molecule: long non-coding RNA, 5026 nt
Organism: Petromyzon marinus (sea lamprey)
Lineage: Eukaryota; Metazoa; Chordata; Hyperoartia; Petromyzontiformes; Petromyzontidae
Source: RefSeq, a predicted model, not a curated record